AUUGAACGCUGGCGGCAUGCUUUACACAUGCAAGUCGAACGGCAGCGGGUCCUUCGGGAUGCCGGCGAGUGGCGAACGGGUGAGUAAUGCAUCGGAACGUGCCCAGUCGUGGGGGACAACGUAGCGAAAGUUACGCUAAUACCGCAUACGACCUGAGGGUGAAAGCAGGGGAUCGCAAGACCUUGCGCGAUUGGAGCGGCCGAUGUCAGAUUAGCUAGUUGGUGGGGUAAAAGGCUCACCAAGGCGACGAUCUGUAGCGGGUCUGAGAGGAUGAUCCGCCACACUGGGACUGAGACACGGCCCAGACACCUACGGGAGGCAG
This 322-nucleotide ribosomal RNA is filed under the name uncultured Pseudomonadota bacterium. Its description in RNAcentral is "bacterial SSU rRNA". It matches the Rfam family "Bacterial small subunit ribosomal RNA", at positions 30 to 351 of the family's 1533-position model. The record is from RNAcentral. Lineage: Bacteria; Pseudomonadati; Pseudomonadota.